GUAGGUGGCAAGCGUUGUCCGGAAUUAUUGGGCGUAAAGCGCGCGCAGGCGGUCCUUUAAGUCUGAUGUGAAAGCCCACGGCUCAACCGUGGAGGGUCAUUGGAGACUGGGGGACUUGAGUACAGAAGAGGAAAGCGGAAUUCCAAGUGUAGCGGUGAAAUGCGUAGAGAUUUGGAGGAACACCAGUGGCGAAGGCGGCUUUCUGGUCUGUAACUGACGCUGAGGCGCGAAAGCGUGGGGAGCAAACAGGGAUUAGAUACCCUGGUAGUCCACGCCGUAAACGAUGAGUGCUAAGUGUUAGGGGGGUUUCCGCCCCCCUUAGUGCUGCAGCUAACGCAUUAAGCACUCCGCCUGGGGAGUACGGCCGCAAGGCUG
RNAcentral lists this ribosomal RNA (375 nucleotides) under uncultured organism. RNAcentral's name for it is "partial 16S ribosomal RNA". It matches the Rfam family "Bacterial small subunit ribosomal RNA", at positions 527 to 896 of the family's 1533-position model. The record is from RNAcentral.